GAUGAACGCUAGCUACAGGCUUAACACAUGCAAGUCGAGGGGUAACGAGAGGAAAGCUUGCUUUCCUUGUCGACGACCGGCGCACGGGUGAGUAACGCGUAUCCAACCUGCCCCCAACUAGGGAAUAACCUUGCGAAAGUAAGACUAAUACCCUAUAAUUUCCUCAGAUGCCAUCUGACGAGGAAUAAAGAUUUAUCGGUUGUGGAUGGGGAUGCGUCUGAUUAGCUUGUUGGCGGGGUAACGGCCCACCAAGGCAACGGUCAGUAGGGGUUCUGAGAGGAAGGGCCCCCACAUUGGAACUGGGACACGGUCCAAACUCCUACGGGAGGCAGCAGUGAGGAAUAUUGGUCAAUGGGCGGAAGCCUGAACCAGCCAAGUAGCGUGCAGGAUGACGGCCCUAUGGGUUGUAAACUGCUUUUAUACAGGAAUAAAGUUAGCCACGUGUGGUUAUUUGUAGGUACUGUAUGAAUAAGGACCGGCUAAUUCCGUGCCAGCCGCCGCAGUAA
Molecule: ribosomal RNA, 506 nt
Filed under: uncultured bacterium
Lineage: Bacteria
Description: partial 16S ribosomal RNA
Rfam family: Bacterial small subunit ribosomal RNA
Source: RNAcentral